ACUGAAUGGCAUGCUGGGAGAAAGGAAGUGGAGUCAGAGAGAAGCCAUAAAUCCUUGCUUGAGACAGAUGCCGGGACGGCUCAGACAAGGUGGAGCAGAUGUCCACGGAGUCAAGGAUGCACCACAUACCCUGGUACCUGAUAAGCAAGACCCUGAGGAGAAGUUGCAGCCACAGCUCUACCUAUCCAGUCACACCCUGACUGAGAGAAGUCACGUGACAGCAGCAGUGGUUGUAGGUCUCAGCUGAAGCCUUCCAGUCACCUUAGAACAGGACCUGGACAGCAGAGGGGUCACCUCAGCUGCUGUGUAUCAGGAUAACGACAAGGGGAAGCUGAGCCCGGGGGUAUUAGCACCCACCUCGGGAUCCGUCCAUGUGAGCGGUCCUCAGACUACAAUCCAAGAGGAGAUUGGAAAGUGCCGAGCGCAGAUGGCUCAAACUUAAAAGAGACCUUUGCUUGUGUGGAAAAGGAUAAGGAUGGAUGACAUCCCUGCCGCUGAGCCUGAUGGGAGACUCACCAUGGAAUGUUGACAGUUAUUUGAAACAUGAACCCCUUUGAAUUCUUGUCAUCUCUCUGAAUAAGAAUCACAAGACCAAGGAGCCCAAAGUGCCCUAUUUGCCUAUGAGUGGCGUCAGGAUAAAAGUGAAAACAUCCCUAAUACCCUGCAAGAGGCACAGCAUGUCAGGGUGCUGGGAAGGAGGUUAGGAGGCAGGCACAGGGAGAUUGCUGCGCAUUCACGACCAGCCUGGGCUACAAAGCAAGACCCUGUCUCAGAAACAAACAAAAAAGCUGGAUGCACUGGUUGUAUUAGUGAUUAAUACACAUCAACCACUUUUUUAAAAUCAGUAUUUCUAUGUAUAAAGAAUAAGGUAAAUCAUGCAAAUAUUUUGAAAAAAGAGUACCACAAAGUAAAGUGCUUAUUUCAACAAAGACAAUGUUACUGAUCUACUACUUCCAUGAUCUGUAGCAAGUUAGAUGUGGUGGGUUCACAUCUGUCAUCCCAGUAACUGGGAAGGCUGAGGCAGGAAGAUUAUGUGUUCAAGACCUGCCUCGGCUACAUAGUGACAUUCUGUCUCACGGAAGGAGGUAAGACAUAGCACCACGAGUGAUACUUCGAGAAUUUACUUUGAAACUCAAAAUCUAGAGCCAUGCUGGGUACAGUGGCACACACCUAUAGUCUCAGCACUUAGGAGGCCAAGGCAGAGUAAUCAGGAGUUCCAAGCCAGUCAUAUACAUAUCAAGUUCCAGGAUAGCCUGGACUACAGAGUGAGAUACAGUCUCCAAAACUAGUAACAAUGUAGACCUCACAAUAACAUAAGCAGGAGAGUUCUCUUGGGGUAAGACUUCACCCAUGCUGUGAUGCUGUUGCCAUCAUGAGACUCACUCUAGAGCAAUGUUUCUCAGACUACGGGUUGCAACCCCUUUGGGACCAAAUGACCCUUUCACCGGGAUUGUCUAAGACCAUCAGAUAGAAAGCAGUGGUUGCAUUACAAUUCAUAACAGUAACAAAAUUAUAGUAUGAACUAGCCAUGGAAAUAAAUUUAUGCUGGGGGGGGGUCACCACAACAUGAAGAACUGUAUUACAGAGUUGUCGCAGAAGGAAGGGUUGAGAACCGCUGCUCGAGAGGACAAUGGUCAUGGCUUCUAGCUCAGGGCUGAAGGUUGAGGGAGAAAUAGGGAUAAGAAUAUCAGUGAAGCUGUGCCCGGUAGAACAGGAGGCCAUAUUGAAGGCACCUCUCAUAAACCAAGAAAUCCUCCAGGGCUGUACUUAGAAAAGGGAAUGGAAGGGAAAGGAUUGUCAGUUUUAUAGGUCCAUGUUGCUAUUCAUGAUUUCUUUCUAAAUUUAUGCAUUCAUAAUUUUAUAAUGUGUGUGAUCACCGCCCCCAGUUCCAUCAUCCUCUCUUAUCCAUUACCCCACCACCAUCAAACCUUUCCUUCUCCCCAAGUCCCUCCCCUACACUUGUAUCUUUUUUGUUUUGAGGGGACAAUUAUAUUGUGAACUUGGAUAGGGGGUAUUUACUUGAGCAAAGGCUGAGAAAUAUGACUUCCCAUUCCCCAGAAAUCAUUGACUGCCUAUUGUCAGAUCCAAAGGAAACUCCCCCAAAAUUUGGCACCCAUGCCCCUCUUCCAAAGGAGCCAUUUCCUUAUCAUUGUCAGAAGAGGUAAAUGGCUAUCUAUGGUGCCUAUUUUCAUACCAAACCCUUGCUGGCCUCACUCAGUAUCCUAAGUACCAGCUUCUCCUCUUCAGUUCUUUUUACCGAGACCUCUCCCCUAAUUCUUGUUACCAGGACACUUACCCUUCUCUCUCCCACCCUUUUGUCCCUUACCACAUGUUCUCAGCUCCCUUCUGGAACUUUCUCACCUCCACUUAGGAGCUGCCCGUGUCUGUGUCCUUGCCGUUAGCCCUCUGUCGCUGGAGCCUUCUGCUUAAGUCCUGCUGUUUCCUUAUGCCUUCCUGGAACUCUAUAAUAUUGGGUUCCUCCCAUGUGUAGAUUGCUUUUGUGACCUUCCCACCUUAUCUUACCUUGUUCUAUUCUUUUUUCCUCCUCUGACUCAGAGAUUGCAUCAAAGCUUUGCUGUCUUUCUCCAAGUGACUUGGUUUUACUACAGCUCAACAGGUAAAAUGUGGCACACUCAAUUUUCAAUUUUUGCAGAUUGUAACAAUUUCCACCACCACACAAAUAUUCCUCAAAUCUCUUCUGUCUAAACUUUCUUGACUCUACACUCUCAAAAGUCUCUUAUCUAAAGCUUUUUCUUCUAUACUUCUUUCUUCUAUAUUUCUUGAAAAUCUUUAUGAUUUAUUUGCUCUUUGCUCUCAAAAAAGUCUCUUAAGAAUAUGCUGAAAACUCUAUCUCAUGAUUUGUAAGUCCAUUAGGUAUGGUUGAAAAUCUAUAAUAUCUGGGAUUAAGAACACUGACAGGUCUUCCAGAGGUCCUGAGUUCAAUUCCCAGCAAUCAUAUGGUGACUCACAACCGUCUAUAAUGAGCUCUGGUGCCCUUUUCUGGCAUGGAGGCAAACAUGCAGACAGAACACUGUAUUAUAAUAAGUAAAUAAAUCCUUGAAAAAAAAUCUAUAAUAUUUGUAACAAAAAAACUAGCUUAAAUCUUGUAACAAAAGGCUAAUGAUUAAAAAAAAUCUGCACACAGGUAAUCUUAAUUUGCUACAGCAUACUAUAUAAGUGAUCCACAUUUCUUUUAGUAAAAUAGAUGUUUUUAAAUAGCAAAAUUGCAGCUUGUCUUCAUCUUGGCUAAUGACCUCACCAAGACGAAAGCAACCAUGUGGCUGGCAGCCAUCUUUAUUAAGGCUAAAGAGAGUGCGUGCCAGGUAACUUCACCACCGUCUUGAUUAAGAUGACCACAUGAUAUAAACCAACUAAGGCAGCACUCAUAAAACCUCAUAGUACUAAUGAGCUCUCUGCUUAUUGUUGUAUCUCCUUUUGAUCAUAUUAACCUGGAAUAUUCCAGGAAUAUUCCAGGUUAAUAUGAUCAUAUAUUAAUAUGAUCAAAGGAGACUUCCUGAAACUUGGCAGGUGAUAUAUAUCAAGAAAGGCUACUGCUGCUCUUUCCUGGACUUGAUCAUUAUCUCAAAUUUUCUCAGGAACUCUAAAGAUACUUCAUCCACAGACUGCAGGAAACAGUUUUAAAAACAUGAUACCUACAUUCCUUAGAGGGAUGUGGGAGGCUUUUGGCUAUUUGGUGGGUUAUAGAUGUUUGUUAUAUUUAGGGGAAUAUGGAAAUAUAGGAAUGAUACGAUAAAAGGGUAGAUUAUUGAA
Non-coding RNA from Myodes glareolus (Bank vole), 3771 nucleotides. NCBI's taxonomy places the organism in Eukaryota, Metazoa, Chordata, Mammalia, Rodentia, Cricetidae. The record is from RefSeq and is a predicted model, not a curated record.